Magnolia sinica is the source of this 245-nucleotide long non-coding RNA. RefSeq lists it as uncharacterized. The transcript is spliced from 3 exons. The record is from RefSeq and is a predicted model, not a curated record. NCBI's taxonomy places the organism in Eukaryota, Viridiplantae, Streptophyta, Magnoliopsida, Magnoliales, Magnoliaceae.
UUUAGGUUUAGGUUAUAGGUUUUGGUUUUGGUUUUGGUUAUAGGUUUUGGUUUAGGUUAUAGGUUUUUGGAUUUGAGAAUGGGUUCGGGUUUAGGUUAUAGGUUUUAGGUUUGAGAAUGGGUUCGGGUUUAGGUUAUAGGUUUUGGUUUCGGUUUAGGUUAUAGGUUUUGGGAUUUGAUAAUGGGUUCGGGUUUAGGUUAUAGGUUUUGGUUUAGGUUAUAGGUUUUAGGUUUAGGUUAUAGGUU